ACGGAGGGUGCAAGCGUUGUUCGGAAUUACUGGGCGUAAAGCGCGUGUAGGCGGUCCGAUAAGUCGAGUGUGAAAGCCCGAGGCCCAACCUCGGAAGUGCAUUCGAAACUGUCGGGCUUGAGUACGGGAGAGGGAAGUGGAAUUCCUGGUGUAGAGGUGAAAUUCGUAGAUAUCAGGAGGAACACCGGUGGCGAAGGCGGCUUCCUGGACCGAUACUGACGCUGAGACGCGAAAGCGUGGGGAGCAAACAGGAUUAGAUACCCUGGUAGUCCACGCCGUAAACGGUGAGCACUAGGUGUAGCGGGUAUUGACCCCUGCUGUGCCGCAGCUAACGCAUUAAGUGCUCCGCCUGGGGAGUACGGCCGCAAGGUUA
This 373-nucleotide ribosomal RNA is filed under the name uncultured bacterium. RNAcentral's name for it is "bacterial SSU rRNA". It matches the Rfam family "Bacterial small subunit ribosomal RNA", at positions 525 to 896 of the family's 1533-position model. The record is from RNAcentral.